Oreochromis aureus is the source of this 4222-nucleotide long non-coding RNA. NCBI's taxonomy places the organism in Eukaryota, Metazoa, Chordata, Actinopteri, Cichliformes, Cichlidae. The record is from Ensembl.
ACAUUGAGAUCAGUGUGGUUGAUGAUGAAUCAGAGUCAUCGGUACAGCCAAUCCCUCUUGCCCUCCUGACAUCGCCAGUGUCAUUGUCAGACCAUCCAUCGUCCCCAGCUUCUACCAGUUCAUCAGAUUCAACUAUGAUCCUCAAAAGUACAAAGAACAGGAAGAAGGGCCUACAAGAGCUUGAUCGCGAUGAAGCGAAGCAGGUCAAAAGCAAAGCCUAAAGCAAUUUCCAGUGCUUAACAGCAUUUUACAAACACUAACUUUUUUGUAUAAUUUGUUUCAGUUUAAUCAGUAUGACUUUUUUUUUUAAACAGAAGGUGUGUAGUGUCUUGAGCUCAAACCCAAAGGGUGAAGAAAUUUUCAAUGAAUACGACAAAACUAAAACAUUGUCAGAUCCAACUCGUCGACAAAUGGUCAACAUACUGGUUGCAGAUAUGAUAGAAUCACACGGGUAAGUAUUCUUUGAUGAUCAUAAAAACAAUUGUCGAGUGAGCAGAAGAGCAAUACACUUUGUUUUGUUUUUGAAAGGAGGAUUCCGCCCAUAAGUGUUCGGACUAACUAUGCACUGGGGAUUGCAACGCUUUUUCCAUAUCUCCAAGAUCCUUACUCAAAAAAUGGCUAUGAACAUUACUAUGAUCCGGAGGCCAAUACUGGCUAUCUUGCUUGGAGACUCAAGACUGUCCAACGCAAUACCUAUGAUGGUGCUAGUGGGUGUCCCAGGCCAAACUUCCAGGACAGUCCAACAACCCGAAGAGAAUCUUUGUUUGUUAGUGGACAGCUUUUUGACAGAAGCUGGUACAUGACCCAGAUGCAACAUCAUCAAUCUUGGAUGUCUUCCCUCAUUUCCUUGAUACACCGGGGUUGAUUGAUCAGGAUUUUGCAAUGAUGCUUGGAGAUGAGGCCUCUGGAAGAUUUCUUACAAAGUGGUCUUCGUAUUUCAAGCAAAAAAUCAUCGCCGAAAGCCAAAGUCUUCCAUCAAGUCCUUGUGUUGAGGAGUUACGAGCAUCUUUUGAUACGGAGGCUUCAAAUGACUGGGGCUGGGAUAGUGACAUGGCAGCCCUUCUGUUGUUGCUGCAUCUCCUGCCCCCAACAUCAAAAGGCCACACAAAAACAGCAAAAAUUAGCUCUGCACAGGCAGCCAAUCAUCUUGUGAGAUUCGUCAAGAAAGGAGUCAGCCUCACUACUUUCCUGGAGAAAGCUAACACCAGGCAGCCCUUCCUUCUCUGCAUUGGUGAGCAAAAGAAGAACAUUCAGAGGUUCUUCAUCAUUGUGGACCAGAAAGCUAUCCCCUGUGAUGCUCCAACUUCAGCAGCUGCUUUUGAUGGGCUUUUCAAAGCACACUUUGUCUUCAGCCUCUCAUAUGAUGAAGCUCUUUCCAGUUUCUACACCUUCAUUCAAACCACAAUCUACAACAUUGAUGUUGGAAACACAAAAGAAAGCCCUCGAGUCAAGGAACUGAGAGCACGUCUGCUGCGAGACCGUUAAAUGCCCGCAAGGUCCACACGCUUUUAGGAGGAUUUAAAAAAAAAACUGUUUGACAAUGUUCAAAUGCUUUGUUUGUAAAAUGCACCAAAAAAAUUGUUCAGCUCUAUGUCAACAUUUAAAAUUUCAUCAUGGUUUAUAUCCAAACAAAAAUCUGCGUUUAAAAUGUGAAGAGCAGGGAUGUCUUUCAUCUUUUUGUACUUAAAUGGCUUUAGAAAACAUCUUCAUAAUGUACAUAGUCAUUAUCACGAUAAACAUGUAGGGACGGAACAGGAAGUUGCCCAACAAACACAUUCUCUAGGAGACUCUUUUUGUGAUCAACCAUCUACUUCUGCAUCUAUAUCACAGGUUCCCACUGUUAUUUCACAGGACUCGCUUGUUGGAAUGUGUGGAUCUGUUGUCGCUCACUUACAAGCUUCUGGUCUUACUGAAAGUGCUGUUCAAACAAUAAUUUGUUCUGUUGAGGAAGUUGUCAGGGAUGUUCAGAGUCAAGCAAGAGAAGUAGUACUCCAAACAUUUUCCCCUGAUAGUAAGGAAUCAGACAUUUACAAAAGAGUUGAGCACAAUUUAAACCAAUUGGAUAACCCCUUUUCAAAAUUUAACACUGAGAAAAAAAGACAGAAAUAUUAUGAUGAAAAAUGGGAAAUAGUUGAGCCUAAAGAAUUUGUACUUGGUGUAAGAUUGGAUACACGUAGACAUAGAACUACAGGGGUUUAUAGCGAAACACCUGUCAGAGACAAAUACAUGUAUGUGCCCAUUUUAGGUACGAUACAUUCAAUUUUCAAGAAUAAAGACAUUAGAGAAUGCUUCUUGCAUGAGAAACAAACACAAGCUGGGUUAUACAAAGACAUUAAUGAUGGAUUAUAUUUCCAAAACCAUCCUCUGUUUUCACAACAGAAAUAUGCUCUACAGAUUUUACUGUAUUAUGAUGAUUUUGAAACUGCUAACCCAUUAGGUUCGAAGAAAGGGAUCCACAAACUGGGCUGUAUUUAUUUCACUUUAAAAAAUCUCCCACCAAAGGUUAACUCUGUGCUGAUGAAUGUACAUCUAGCUGCUCUUUUCUACACAGAAGACUUAAAGAAAUAUGGUUUUGAAGAAAUACUAAAGCCUUUGAUUGAUGACUUGAAAAUUUUAGAAAUUAAAGGAAUCCUGCUUCCCUUUACUGAAGAGCCAGUGUUUGGUUCUGUUGUUCAAGUUACAGGAGACAAUCUUGCUUUAAAUGGCUUACUAGGUUUUGUUGAAUCGUUUAGUGCAACAAACUGGUGCAGGUUUUGUUUAGUAAACAAGGAAGAAAUUCAGUCUGUGUUUAAUGAAGACAGUUCAGACAUUGUUCUGCGCUCCAGAGAACUUCAUAUUGAACACUGUAAUGCAUUAAGUGAAGACCCUGCUCUCACUUCCGUUUACGGAGUUAAAAGAUCUUGUGUGCUCAAUUCAUUGGAAUAUUUUCACAGCACUGACAAUUAUGCAGUUGAUAUAAUGCACGAUUUAUUGGAAGGAGUUGUGCAGUAUGAGCUCAAACUUUUUUUUCAAUACAUGAUCAAAAAUGGCUACAUCUCCAGUAGCACAUUACUUGACAGGAUACAGACGUUUAAUUAUGGUUUUGUAGAGCGUAAAAAUAAACCAAGUGGGUUAAAAAUAGAUGAUAACAGCAAACACUUAGGUUUAAAUGCCAUUCAGUCAUUAUGUAUCCUACGCAAUACUCCACUAAUUUUUGGAGACAUAGUUGAGCGGGACAAUAGCCACUGGAAUUUUGUUCUCCUGUUGUUGCAAAUUGUUGAUAUUGUGUUGUCCCCAGUCCUUACUGAUGGCAUGAUAUGUUACUUGAAACAUCUGAUCUGUGAUCACCAUAACAUGUUUAAAAACUUAUUCCCUGGUAGAAAAUUAAUUCCUAAACACCACCUAAUGAUUCACUAUCCAAGGUGUAUUAAGAAAAUUGGCCCUCUUAUCCACAUAUGGUGUAUGCGUUUCGAAGCAAAACACAUUUUUUUUUUAAAAGAGCUGUCAAAAAUUUUAAAAACCUUACAAAAUCUCUAGUAAAGCAACAUCAGCGUCAAUUGGCCUUUUACUAUGAAAACUAUUGUUUUAAAAGAUUUCGGUUCGGUCCUUUAAAAUUAAAAAGAGUUGAUAGCAUGGAAGGUGGACAUUUGUUGUGCGAGUCAUUAAAUGUAGAUUCAUGUGCAAAUGUUUCAACUACAAAUUGGGUUAGAAAUUAUGGCACUGAAUACCAGGUUGGUUUGUUUUUAUGCACUGGAAUGUCCAGUGAUCUACCAGUCUUUAAGAAAAUUUGCUAUAUCAUAAUACAUGAACAACAUGCAGUCAUAAUAGGCUGUAGUGUCAACACCUUGUACUUUGAUGAACACUUUCAUGCAUACUGUAUUGAAGAAAAAAGUAAUGAGCAUGCUGUUAUUUCAAUUGACCAGCUCACCUAUGUUAGACCCUUUGACAAGCAAUAUUCUAAUGAAAAUGAGAACAUAUACAUUAUUCCAUAUUGUUACAUGUUUUAGAAAAUUUUUUGAAGUUGUGGUGCAUAUAAAAAUAAAUCUUUUUCAGAAGAACAUUGGCUCUUUUUAAUAUUUUUUUCCCCAAGGAAUUUCUAAAAGAUCAGAACAGUAAAAUUUACACUUUUUAGAAUUAAUUAGACGAUAACUCUUUUGUAGUCAAAAUAAAAUACUCUGUAACAGUUAAUAUAUAAACUCUUAACACCUAGUUAGUGUUAAUGAGUGUUAAAUUUUCAACUCCA